RNAcentral lists this ribosomal RNA (482 nucleotides) under uncultured bacterium. RNAcentral describes it as "partial 16S ribosomal RNA". It matches the Rfam family "Bacterial small subunit ribosomal RNA", at positions 28 to 507 of the family's 1533-position model. The record is from RNAcentral.
GAUGAACGCUAGCGGCAGGCCUAAUACAUGCAAGUCGGACGGGAUUCAGGAGCUUGCUUCUGAUGAGAGUGGCGCACGGGUGCGUAACACGUAUGUAACCUACCUUUAUCAGGGGGAUAGCCUCUCGAAAGAGAGAUUAAGCCCGCAUAAAAUCACAGCACAGCAUUGUGUAAUGAUCAAAUAUUUAUAGGAUAAAGAUGGGCAUGCGGAACAUUAGCUAGAUGGCGGGGUAACGGCCCACCCUGGCGACGAUGUUUAGGGGAUCUGAGAGGAUGGCCCCCCAGACGGGGACUGGGACACGGACCAGACUCCUACGGGAGGCAGCAGUAAGGAAGAUUGGUCAAGGGGCGGAAGCCUGAACCAGCCAUGCCGCGUGCAGGAAGACGGCCCUACGGGUGGUAAACUGCUUUUAUACGGGAAUAAACCCAGAUACGUGUAUCUGGCUGAAGGUACUGUAAGAAUAAGGAUCGGCUAACUCCGUG